This 279-nucleotide long non-coding RNA is filed under the name Elaeis guineensis (African oil palm). RNAcentral's name for it is "long non-coding RNA (EGUI_LNC042324)". The record is from RNAcentral. Lineage: Eukaryota; Viridiplantae; Streptophyta; Magnoliopsida; Arecales; Arecaceae.
CAAAGGUAUUCCUAUGAUUACUGCAUUGGUGAGAAUUAAUCUGCCUGAGAGAUUGAGCAAUUUGCCUUUCCAGCCAGUCAAUUUCUUCUGAAUUUUCUCAAUGAGUGGAUUCCAAUCACUCCUUCUCAGCUUGAAAUGGUGGUGCGGUAGAUCCAAAUAAGUUAUAGAAAAUGUAGCCACUUUACUUCCUAGAGUAGGUGCCGCCCUCUUUAGUGCCAUCUCAUCAAUGCCCAAGCCUAACACUUGGGAUUUUUCAAAGUUUAUUUUGAGACCUGAUAA